CUUCAGGAAGCCGGACAUUGUGGUGUGCGGUGAGGAUGCCUUAACUGUCAUCCACAUUGCGGUCGCCGGCGAGGAGCUUAUAAAGUCGGUCUAUGACGGAAAGGUCCGCUUCUAUUAAACAGUGGAAGUCCAGGAGAAUCUUUGGAGGAUCCUUGGCCGCCCAGCUGACUUUCUGAUCUCCCAUGAACCCGCCAUUUUCUCGUAACGAGGUGCCCUGCAUCCGAGCAGCGAAGCCGGAUUGCGGCUUUUGGAUCUGUCAAAGUUUGAUCUCUCGGAUUUGUGCUUGAUGGUGGAACGUGGUUCAUUGAAAGCCUACGACGUCCACAUGCGUGUAGCUGGUGGUCGGGUGCACAGAUAACUCAACGUUGUGGCCCCGCGGGUGUUAAAAUGGUGCAGGAGACCUUAAUCGACUUGUAGCCCCCCUGUUUAACUGGCACGGAGUUGUCCAGGGGCAGACGACCGUUGUCUGAGGAAGUCGCUUGCGGAUGCUCCCCGUUGGAGAUUGCUAUGUGUUGCCCCUCUUGUCCCAGCUUCUAACUGUUGCCUAUCAGCAUCCCGACUGCAUAACUGGACAGUGUUCUCUUAGUGUUGCAAUGAUUGCAUUUCUGGGAAAUUUCUGCCCAAUUUGUAUCUUUAUUUUGGGUAUAAUAAAUACUUUCUAGCCAAAUGCCUCCUCAUCUAAUAAGUGACGCGCAUGAAUGGAUUAACGAGAUUCAUACCUUCUAUAUCUACUAUCUAGCGAAACCACAGUCAAGGGAACGGGCUUGGCAGAAUCGGAGGAGAAAGAAGACCCUGUCGAGCUUGACUCUAGUCCGACUCUGUGAAGAGACAUGGCGGGGG
RNAcentral lists this non-coding RNA (840 nucleotides) under Schistocephalus solidus. RNAcentral describes it as "Eukaryotic large subunit ribosomal RNA". It matches the Rfam family "Eukaryotic large subunit ribosomal RNA", at positions 1978 to 2460 of the family's 3401-position model. Lineage: Eukaryota; Metazoa; Platyhelminthes; Cestoda; Diphyllobothriidea; Diphyllobothriidae. The record is from Rfam by way of RNAcentral.